Octopus bimaculoides (California two-spot octopus) is the source of this 2178-nucleotide long non-coding RNA. Lineage: Eukaryota; Metazoa; Mollusca; Cephalopoda; Octopoda; Octopodidae. The record is from RefSeq and is a predicted model, not a curated record.
UCUACAUCUUUUUGGUGACCACAAACUCAACGGUGUAAGCGUACUAACAUUAACGCAGUGUUACUACUACUGACCAAGAUAUGCGUACAUCAUCAUGAAAACCGUUCCACUUCAUCUAUGACCAUGUAGGUUUUCGUCGUUUAAGAUGAUUGGGUGUGAUUUGAGGGUAUAUUUGCUGCUAUUUCUAAAAGGUCGAAUGACUUCGUAAAAAGCAACGUCACCCCCACCCCACUUCAUUGGCUCGUGGAGGACUUCUAGAGUGAUUUCUGCUUCACGAAACCAAACUGAAAGUAACUUGGAAGUGUAACCACACAAAAAAAAUUGUUUGAGACGAGGUGGAGGUCAUUAUUUUCCUGAUGAAGGGCACCUAUCCUAAAUGUUUGAUUUUUCUUUGUCCUGGUGGUAGAACACGUACUUUAAUUCGUAUAUACUUUUUAAAAUGUAUAACUAUAGACAAACAGAUAAUAUAUACGGUAUCUAAGCAAACCAUGUGCUAUGUAAAUAAAUGCACAAUUAGAAUUUGGUCUAACAACCCGCCCCAGCUCUGGCUACGAUUUUCAUCGAAAUUGCAUAGUUUUGAAAGAAACAGCAAAACAUAGAAACACAUGAGUUGGUCGACAGAUACAUGUGAGUAGGUAGCAGAGAAAAACAAAUAAAUAUACAGGUAUGUAAAUAGGUAAGUUUCCAUUUAAAUAGAUACAUAUAUCAAUAUGCAGGUAAGAACACAAAAUAUACAGAUAACUAGUAGAUAUAUAGACGAAGAAUCUUAUGACCAGAGAAUGAAUGAAAAUACAACAAUGUGAAUAAAAAGAUAGUGAGAACUCACCCUAAAAUCAAAAAUUGCAUGUCUGAAGUAACAUAUCCAACCGCUGCUUCACGUUAGUAGCAUUUUUAUUUCACGAGACUAAUACGUUGAACUAUAGUAGUACUAAUAGUAGUGGUAGAUGGAAGUGAUGUUGGAAUUUAAACGCUGUAGUUGGAAGCAAUGUUUGCGAGUCUAGAGCUUCGAAAACGAGAUGGGGAUGAAGAUCCGUUGGUGAUGGAGAAGGCGAAAGUGAAAGCAUGAAAUUCGGCGGCAAGCUUAGGAUUUGAAACUGUUUUUUUUUCCGAGAUGAUAUUAGAAGUGAAUGAAAGAUUUUGAGAGAAACAAAAGGGAGAAAGAAGAAAAAGAGAUAAGUAAUAACAAAGAAGAAAAGAUGGAGAGACAAAGCGGGGACAAACGCUUUAUAUACUAAACCCUUUCAUAACGGGGAAAAUAGUAAUAACAAUGUGAGUCGAUAUAUGGCAAUGAAGUACCAAGUAGAAAAAUAUGAAAGAAUUUAUCUGAUAACCCAAUAAUUUAAAUAUUCGAUAUCAUAUAACUACCCUGUCGAAGUGCAAAUUAUGGACAUUAAGAUUAUUACAAAAUUCUGAACUCCCAGAAACAGCUAUCGAGUUGGCUUCAGAAUCCAGCGUGCUAACUAUUACACUACAGAACCUGGCUUGUUACGUUGGACAUGUUAGACGUAAAAAAAAAUCGUUACAUGAUUGUGAAAUACCUAUGUGCCUACUUUGAGUUCGCUUCUGCGAAUAAGAGCUGGAUUUGAUCGGAUGAGUUGAAAUUUAAUUUCUUCGCUUCUGAUGGCCAAGUCUUUAUCAGCUGUUCUAGAGGAGAAUUUCACUCACAAUGCAUGAUUCUAUCAGAUAAUCAUUUUGAGAUGGAUGUUUGCGAAAUGGAUGCUUCCUCACAUCAGAGCUAGAGCAUUGUGAAGAGUACGGCCAGUCCGGAGAUCUUAGAGACGUCUUUAAUCUUAUACGCCAAUACGCCUUUAUUGAUAAUAUUAAUAAAAUCAUAAAAAUAAAAAAUACAGUGAGAAAUUCAUAUACGAACGGUCCUCUAAAUGAACACAUUGAAUAACGAAUGGAUUUUCUGAAGAAAAUUAAAUUGAAAUUCAGUUAACGAACUACGAUAAAGUAUGCAGUGUGUACCUACAACAGAUGGGGUUUUUUUUCUCUCUCACCUUAGUAAUGUAUCUAGACUGCAGACCAAGCAUGGCUGGAGCAGACGACAAUCCCAGGAUUUAAAUUCAGAGGAAAACUUUGCGUAGGUUAUAUAUAUAUUUAAAAAAAUAAACACAGGAAGUAAAAUAAUUGCACAAUUAUAUAAAGAUUGAAAGAGUAAAAAACGAUUACUAUUAA